CCUACGGGUGGCAGCAGUGAGGAAUAUUGGUCAAUGGACGCAAGUCUGAACCAGCCAUGCCGCGUGCAGGAAGACGGCUCUAUGAGUUGUAAACUGCUUUUGUACGAGGGUAAAUCCCGAUACGUGUAUCGGGUUGAAAGUAUCGUACGAAUAAGGAUCGGCUAACUCCGUGCCAGCAGCCGCGGUAAUACGGAAGGCCCGAGCGUUAUCCGGAUUCAUUGGGCUUAAAGGGAGCGUAGGCGGGCGUUCAAGUCAGCUGUAAAAUCGCGCGGCUCAACCGCGCCCCGCAGUUGAAACUGGACGCAUUGAGUUCACAACAGGCAGGCGGAAUUCGUGGUGUAGCGGUGAAAUGCAUAGAUAUCACGAGGAACCCCGAUUGCGAAGGCAGCCUGCCGGGGUGCGACUGACGCUGAGGCUCGAAGGUGCGGGUAUCAAACAGGAUUAGAUACCCCAGUAGUC
RNAcentral lists this ribosomal RNA (459 nucleotides) under uncultured bacterium. RNAcentral's name for it is "partial 16S ribosomal RNA". It matches the Rfam family "Bacterial small subunit ribosomal RNA", at positions 338 to 795 of the family's 1533-position model. The record is from RNAcentral.